UAACCAUAAAAUUAUUUUAAUAGUAUAAAAGUUCUUCACCGGUAUAUAACUUAAAUCAAUAUAAAAAUAUAGGCAAAUGGUGCUGGCUCGUUUAAAUGGACUUAAUUGCCAAUAACGACUUUCGCAUGUUGUUCACAUUUUUGUCUGUUGUCCAUAAAUAUACAAAGACAAUCCUAUCAUUUCAUCAUCACAAAUAUUCAAAAGAAAGAUUGAGGAGGAAGAGGAGAGAAGCCACAAUAUUUCUCCAUAUGGCUUUGUUCAAUUUCUGGGGCUGCUUCUCUGAAUCCUCAGAAUCAAGCAGAUUCGUCUGCAAAGGCGACGUUUGUGUCCUUCGUGAUCACAACAAGGUCAUCAACAAGAAGAAGAAUAAGCUAAGCUUGAGGAUGCCCUUUUCUCCACGCAAAUCCUGAAAAAUGACUAGUUCAUUUAGCACAGCAGAACAAGGAUUCUGAAUUUCUGAACUCAGAGGCGAAUUCAGGAUUUAAGCUCUACAAGUUCAGCUUAGUAUUGAACUUGUUGUAUUUUAAUAGGUUUGGACCUACUAUUUGUUGUAAUUUUAGUGGAUUUUUACGUAUAAAUUUAUGUUCCGCAUUGAGACUACUGGAUUCUGAUGAAUAUGGCGGCAACGCUGCAUCCACCUCUGCUUCUGAUACAUCUUUCAGUAUAGAGAAUUUCUAGUGAUUUUUUUUUUUUAAUUUGUAACAUUAGUUCGAAAUGAGCUUCACUUGAACUAUAUAUACUGGUCAGUGAAAAUUCAUAUAGCCGAGACUUCCAACUGGCAGAACUGAUAGUGAUGCAUAGUCUUCCUUUGAUUUCGUCUCUGUCAGAUUUUUGCCUUCGAAAUUUUGCGUAUUCAAUCACGGAAUGAUUUGUUAUUUUCUUUGGAGAA
Lycium ferocissimum is the source of this 889-nucleotide long non-coding RNA. RefSeq lists it as uncharacterized. The transcript is spliced from 2 exons. NCBI's taxonomy places the organism in Eukaryota, Viridiplantae, Streptophyta, Magnoliopsida, Solanales, Solanaceae. The record is from RefSeq and is a predicted model, not a curated record.